GACGAACGCUGGCGGCGUGCUUAACACAUGCAAGUCGAGCGGUAAGGCCCUUUCGGGGGUACACGAGCGGCGAACGGGUGAGUAACACGUGGGUGACCUGCCCUUAGCUCUGGGAUAAGCCUGGGAAACUGGGUCUAAUACCGGAUAUGACCUCAUGACGCAUGUUGUGGGGUGGAAAGCCUUGUGCGGCUAGGGAUGGACCCGCGGCCUAUCAGCUUGUUGGUGGGGUAAUGGCCUACCAAGGCGACGACGGGUAGCCGGCCUGAGAGGGCGACCGGCCACACUGGGGACUGAGACACGGCCCAGACUCCUACGGGAGGCAGCAGUGGGGUAAUUUUGCGCAAUGGGCGAAAGCCUGACGCAGCGACGCCGCGUGAGGGAUGACGGCCUCGGUU
Molecule: ribosomal RNA, 395 nt
Filed under: uncultured bacterium
Lineage: Bacteria
Description: bacterial SSU rRNA
Rfam family: Bacterial small subunit ribosomal RNA
Source: RNAcentral